CAACCCUCAAGUCCCCUGUGGACUUGGUGUUGGGGACCGGCGACACACAGCUGUUUACAGUUGGUCGCCGCCCCCUAAAUGACUUGGCGGCCUCGUCGCGGCCCUCCUCUGCGUAGUAGCACACACCUCGCAACAGGAGCCCGGCGAAUGGCCACUGCCGUAAAACCCCCAACUUCUUUUUAGAG
RNAcentral lists this unclassified non-coding RNA (185 nucleotides) under uncultured Paecilomyces. RNAcentral describes it as "sequence contains ITS2". Lineage: Eukaryota; Fungi; Ascomycota; Eurotiomycetes; Eurotiales; Thermoascaceae. The record is from RNAcentral.